This 469-nucleotide ribosomal RNA is filed under the name uncultured bacterium. RNAcentral describes it as "bacterial SSU rRNA". It matches the Rfam family "Bacterial small subunit ribosomal RNA", at positions 917 to 1390 of the family's 1533-position model. The record is from RNAcentral.
GGACCCGCACAAGCGGUGGAUGAUGUGGAUUAAUUCGAUGCAACGCGAAAAACCUUACCUACCCUUGACAUGGAUGGAAUCCUGAAGAGAUUUGGGAGUGCUCGAAAGAGAACCAUCACACAGGUGCUGCAUGGCUGUCGUCAGCUCGUGUCGUGAGAUGUUGGGUUAAGUCCCGCAACGAGCGCAACCCUUGUCAUUAGUUGCUACGAAAGGGCACUCUAAUGAGACUGCCGGUGACAAACCGGAGGAAGGUGGGGAUGACGUCAAGUCCUCAUGGCCCUUAUGGGUAGGGCUUCACACGUCAUACAAUGGUACAUACAGAGGGCCGCCAACCCGCGAGGGGGAGCUAAUCCCAGAAAGUGUAUCGUAGUCCGGAUUGGAGUCUGCAACUCGACUCCAUGAAGUUGGAAUCGCUAGUAAUCGCGGAUCAGCAUGUCGCGGUGAAUACGUUCCCGGGUCUUGUACACAC